RNAcentral lists this ribosomal RNA (511 nucleotides) under uncultured Lachnospiraceae bacterium. RNAcentral describes it as "bacterial SSU rRNA". It matches the Rfam family "Bacterial small subunit ribosomal RNA", at positions 28 to 507 of the family's 1533-position model. Lineage: Bacteria; Bacillati; Bacillota; Clostridia; Lachnospirales; Lachnospiraceae. The record is from RNAcentral.
UUAGUCCUGGCUACAGGAGUCGAACGCUGGCGGCGUGCUUAACACAUGCAAGUCGAACGGGGCCGUACCAUUUUUGAAGCUAUUAGCUUGCUAAGAGUGGAAUGUUGGCGGCUAGUGGCGGACGGGUGAGUAACGCGUGGGUAACCUGCCAUAGUACAGGGGGAUAACACUUAGAAAUAGGUGCUAAUACCGCAUAAGCGCACGGAGCUGCAUGGCUCAGUGUGAAAAACUCCGGUGGUAUAUGAUGGACCCGCGUCUGAUUAGCUUGUUGGCGGGGUAACGGCCACCAAGGCGACGAUCAGUAGCCGGCCUGAGAGGGUGGACGGCCACAUUGGGACUGAGACACGGCCCAAACUCCUACGGGAGGCAGCAGUGGGGAAUAUUGGACAAUGGGGGGAACCCUGAUCCAGCGACGCCGCGUGAGUGAAGAAGUAUCUCGGUAUGUAAAGCUCCAUCAGCAGGGAAGAAAGAAAUGACGGUACCUGACCAAGAAGCCCCGGCUAACUACGUG